GCCCUGGGAGCAGUCAGAGAAAUAAAAUAAAAAGGAAGCAGUUAGGGAGGAAAGAAUUGUUUUGUGGGUGCUAGAAUGCUGAGUAAUCAAACAAUUUAGGUUAAAGAGCCAGUGGAUUGUCCCAGCAGCAAAAUUUAAGGAAGGAAACAGAAGUAGAAAAUGCACUCCCUGAUCCUCUGAAGAGCUUGGUCAGCUUGUUAGCUGAAGGGAGUGCACCUGUGAUCUGCUUGGGUUUUGGCCAUGAAAUAGGAUUCCUAAGCUUCCCUGUGAUUGAUAGUAGAUAAAAAUCUUGGAAAUGGAAGUGUAAUUCUGUUCUCAAGUUGUAUCAGUUCUAUAAAUAAUUUGGAAAAGGAUAGGACUUGAAUUUCCAUGCCCCUGAGUAAGAGAUGCUGAACAAAAUGUUAUUUCUGCUUGCAUAUUUCCACUCCCCUUUCACUGUGUUUUUCAAAUAUUGAACCACAAAAGAUUGUAAAUUGACCUUAGUGUCUUGCUGCAUAGGUGAAAUUCUCUGCAAGAAGGCAGGUUGACUCUGGAACAGAUCAAGAACAGGAGAAAAAGAGGGAUUGUCCUUCAGAGGGAUAAUUUGAAAACGUCUAUAAAGGUGUAUGUAUGUUUGCAUUGGAAUCAGUCUAAGCUUCAGGCUGUGGCAUCAAUGCUCCAGUUUAUGGAGCUGUCCUGAAAGUUGUCUCUCCAUGAAAACAGUACAACGUUGUUGUCAGCACAGCUCUUUCCAGAUGUCUGCCUUAGCAUACCUGGCCAGCGUGGGUAGGCAUGAGGACCCAAGCCUCUUUGCAGGCUGUGCACAUCCCUGCUCUUUCUCCAGCCCCACAAGACCUGGGCGUUCCUGGUGGAGCAAAAAUGUGGGCCUUGUGCACAUGUGUUGCUUGCAGGCUUUUCUAAGUAGGAGUUAUGCUAUUUCAUCAGCAAACCAAUGGACAAAUAGACAGGGAGGUAUGUGAGUAAGGUUAGUUGAUUCUUUAAUUUUCACAAGCUGUUCAUUGGUGAGUUCUAUGAGAGUGGGGUAAAUUACAAGGUUGCUAGUGUCAUAGAUUUUGGGAGAGGAUGAUGUUAGUUCAGACCUGCAGGCUGCCAAUGGGAAACAUUUCUCUCUGCAUGUUCUGGUAGAGGAGGCUUUGGUGGCAGCUUCAUUUUCUGUUUCUGCCAGGGUCUGCAUUGUUUUCAAGGCUUUAUUACUAAUUUUCUUUUCGUCCUCUGAACACUUAAAAUUAUGUAAGCAAAUUUAAAAAGACUGCAAGCUUCAGAAUUAGGAAUCAGUCAGCGUGGGGAAAAUAACCUGUGGAAAAGUUUUGGUUUGAAAUAAAAUCUGCAUAAUCAAGCAAGCAGUUGAACAUUCUUAACAUUAGGACUGUAACUGUGUGUAUUUUGAUCUGCUUGGGAGAUUUUCACCUCAGACUUUGACUGGCCUUUGAAGAAGUAUUCAUCGGGUCAGCAAACUAAUGACUGCAUUAUUUUCCAGCAGAACUGCUGCAUUUGAACUAGCGUGAGUCUGGAGAGUUAUAUUUGCAAUGCCCUUACAAAUUCUGUCAGUGCAUGUGAUCACACAUGAGGCUAUUCUUUCCUUGUGUAAUUAAUCCCUUUUGGAUCUAUAUUGGCUAUCUUUAUAUUAACUUUCACUGUGGUCCCAGCCUCCCACAAAGCAAUUAUUCCAUUAUUGAAGAUGGAAUUGAUAUUUCCUUACAGAUGCCACCAGACUUGUCUUUCCUAAGCAUUUCCUAGGCAUUCCCUAGGCUGGGACUGAGCUGCUUUUCAGACCAUUCCCAGAGCCACUGGCUCCUGCUCUUUUCCCGGUUCCUACAGCAACCAGACCACAGGUCGUGCCCAGCAGCUUCUCAAGUCAAACAACCAUGGCACCAAUCUGUUUCUUGAACUUCAGUGUCAAUUCUGCUGCUUCGCCUGAGGUCUUUCCUUCUGUGCCUUGCAAGUCUGGGCCCAGCUGCUCCUGCUAAGGUGCAAACUCUUUUUCCCCCAUGUCCAGCUCUCAGCCAAGUAUUGCACAGUGAAACUUAAUCUGCUGCAGCCAUCACAUCAGUAUGACUUAGGGCUCUGCUUUUUUUCCCUCAUACCGCUGUGUCACCUUUCAGCAAUAUUGGAAGAGGGCAGGUAUGAACUAAGGGAGCAGCUGUGGUAUAUGGGAGUCAUUAUACACUUUGCUAGAUGGAGUUCAGAUGGACCAUUUAACCUGCAAGCAUGGUAGGUGUAUGAGGAGGGGCCAGCAGCAACACGAACCACUUACUGGGAAGCCCUUGAGCUGCUGGGUGUGUUUUACUCUCCUAUGCAGAAAUAGGAGCUCUAGAUGCCCUGUCCUGUGCAAUUCCCACAUUUUCUUUGGGAAAGAAAUAGUGCUUAGUGUUCCUGGGGUGAUUCACUCCCUUGUCCGCAAAGCAGCACCCUCCAUCCACCCCCUUCAGCUGCAGGGUGCUACCUGGCCCAAGUUCUGCAUUAAACCAGUUGUGCGAUACCUGCUGCUGCACGCUGUGCCCAAGGAGCUACUUUCAGCCCUGAGCCUCAGCUGGUAGCCUGGGGGAGCAGAGGUGGCACGUGGAAGGGCAUGGAAGAAAGUACCAAAGAUCCAGCCCUACCUGCCAGCUUAUUUAAAAAUAACUGUGAAAAAUAAUUAAGUUUUCAUUGUUCUGGAGAAACUGGGCUGAGAAAGAGAUUCACUUUCCUCGUUUUAGUUAUCUGUUAGAGUGGCGGAUGGGAACUUGGUAUCUGCAGACGCUUGGUGCUGGGCUCUGUGGGCAUGGAAGUAGCUGGGAGGUGCAUUGCACUGCUGAGCAACCUGCCCAGACCUCCCUGUCCCUUCCUCCUCAGGGAAAUGCUGAGUACCCUCGUAAGGCCCUGUGACCAAGCUGGAGCCACAGGAGGCAGCGGAGAGCAUCCCUACAGCCUCUACUUACCGCCUGCGUGCAGCACAGCAACCAUGAUGGAGGGGAACCACGAUGUCUCGCUGUUGGUGGCCUGGAACUCAUGCUGGAGGAUCCUGGCAGAUUGCUCGAGAAAUGACUGCCUUCCCCUUUUAUAUUGCACAAGACAGUGAGCGCAGCCAGGUACAGAACAGGACCACACCUCCUUUGAGGUCUGAAGCUGAAAGGUCCCAGGUUUGCUUUCUAUGAGAUCAGCAGCAUGAAACAACAAGAGCAUUUCACGUGAAUAAAGGCACAAAACAAAUCUUUGGCAGCUGGACAAGCUCAAGAAAAGCGCCGUAAGGUUUGCACCCUACAGUAUUUAUUUAGCACUCGACUAAUGUCCUUCCCCUACAACAAUAGCUACAACUGAGUGUUGUGUGCAGCUUUAAGAAUGAAUAAUAACUCAUUCUUGCUCAUUAUUUCAAGCUUGCCAUGGCAACACGCUCAGAAUCAGUUCCAUACCUGGGGCUGGACCAGGCCUGGCGACGUGAGGGGCUGAAGCGCAGGGCAGGUGGCUCAUCGUGGCGUGCUGGGUGCUUCUGCUUCAGCAGUGCCCAAAAGCUCUGAUGAAGUCUUUUGCAACGUUAACCUCAGCAUCAUUCUGUAAACAGGGCUGCUGUGCCGGCUGGCUUGCAGCCAGGGAAAAAAGGGCUGCAAGCAGAGGGGGCCCGUGGGAAGGGGCUCUCACAUGCAAAUCAUGGUGGUGGUGCUCAGCACACUUUAAUCCUUUGUCCACUUUAGCUGGGUGCGGAUAAUGCAACUAAUUCAAGUGCUUGUCUCUCUGGUGUGAAUUUGCUGGAUGACAGCCUAAAACCUCUCCCCGGCAACAGCAAACCCAAAAAAAAGGCAGAAGCACAGCUCCUCUCUGUUCCCAGCCGCCCUGCCCAACAUCUGAGUGUGUCCAGCAGCAGAUUUCUGCAGCUCAGGCUCAUUGGGGAGAGCAGAGCCGGGGGUCACACACUUGCCAUGGCUUUUGCCUGCCGCUGGCUGCAGGGCAGCGUAUCCCUGUGGCCUCCGAACCUUCGGCAUCAGCCAGGCCUCAGGCUGUGAGCAGCUCUGGGAUGUGCAGUCAGCUGCCAGGUUGUUCCUCACCGCCUUCUGCCUGCGCGGUGUGAAGGGAGCGGGUUUGUUCAGCACUCAGCUGGCCCUGCCCGCCAAAUGGCUCCGCAAAAAUGGCUUUUAUUCCUUCCCGAGUGCAAAUGUGGCAGGCUGCCGCAUGCUCUGGUGAGCCAUGUUGUCCUCAGCCUGUUCCUCAGUCAUGUUGAGACCAGGACCAGCAGAAAGCAGAGGCAGAUUCUCACAAGCUUGAAUGCUUGUCUCAUACUGAUUGCAUUGGGAUUUGGACUGGGGCUCACAGCAAGACAUGCAUGAGUGCUUACUGCAAACUGUGUUGAUCGGAGCCAAACUGGUCAGCAGUGCUGCCUGCCCCAGUUCAUGACGUUGCUGGAGAUGGUUGUGUGUGAAGCAGAUUCCGUCUCUGCUUCAGCUACUCUCUUUGGUUUCUCUCUUUCAGCUCUGAACGUUGUUUUUACUGCAGUGACCAUCAAGAUGCUGAGUUCAAGCUUUUCUGGAUUUCCUUUGGGCAGCGCAGCAGCCCUGGAGCUGUUCCUUAUGGCAGCACAUCAGGAAUGCUUGAACAGUGCUUGUCUCCCAUUCCCGUGCCCCAGUUUCCCUCAGUUGUGAUGGGGGACCUGCAGAUGCUGUGAUGAGAGCACACAGCAGGGCUGCUGGUGGCUCUGUGUGCAUUCACACCGGGCAUUUACACAGCUCCCCUCCUCAGAAUGUUCAGCCUGCAGAUGAGAAUAGUAUCUAUAUGUCAGCCUCAGUGAGAGCUGGCAGCUGGUGGGCAGCCCUGUGGAGGGAAGAGCAGUCCAAUUCUCGUCCAAAACUUCUCGUAGUGUCACAGCAGCAGGAGGAGAACCCAGGAGUGUGUACAGGGGGAGGCUCUGAGCCCAGAGGAUACCUAUGGUUGGGAACAGGGAGGGCAGCAGGAGGAAAGGUUGUCUAGUUCACAGUACACUAACUCUGCACCCUGCUGCAUGGCAUGCAGCAUCCUCCUGCUGCCCCACCUCAGGCCGGUGUGAGCUGGGCAUGUGUUUAUGAAUGUAAAAUAGGCUGUGUGCACAGAGGCAAGAUGUUUAUUGUAAACGGAGCCAGGCAGUAAGGUUUUUUUGGGAGAGUCACUCUGUGUCUGUUGGGGGUAGGAAAGCCAAGCACUUCUCUUGGUAAACAGCUCUAUAAGUGACUUUUUAAGUUCAUUUUCAUCCUGCAUUUUGUGCCAGGUGACUUUCUCAAGGUCACAGUAUUGCUCCCACCUUCUCCCCCUACAAAGGGUAUCAGAGCUCUGCUGGCACCAAUAAAUCCUAAUUAGGCUGAGCAGCCGCAUCUGACUCGACUCCCCUCCCCCACAUUCUCCCCACCUAUUUUGAUUCCCAGUUGCAUUUAAGCCUGGCUCCUUGCCUAGCACAGCCUUUGGGCAGAUGUCCCAGUACUGUCCCUAUUCUCUUGGCUCGGUCUCAGCUCUGCUGACUGCCCUGAGUUCAUCAAUUACCAAGACACAGGUGGAGUGCCAGGGAAAUUCAAGACAACACAUUUGAGGAGAUGCCUUACCUUUGCCUUCUCGCUGGGCUCUUUGACAAUGCCAUUGGUAGAAUUGUUGA
Phasianus colchicus (ring-necked pheasant) is the source of this 5587-nucleotide non-coding RNA. The record is from RefSeq and is a predicted model, not a curated record. Lineage: Eukaryota; Metazoa; Chordata; Aves; Galliformes; Phasianidae.